RNAcentral lists this ribosomal RNA (468 nucleotides) under uncultured bacterium. Its description in RNAcentral is "partial 16S ribosomal RNA". It matches the Rfam family "Bacterial small subunit ribosomal RNA", at positions 28 to 507 of the family's 1533-position model. The record is from RNAcentral.
GACGAACGCUGGCGGCGUGCUUAACACAUGCAAGUCGAACGGAAAGGCCCUGCUUUUGUGGUGUGCUCGAGUGGCGAACGGGUGCGUAACACGUGAGUAACCUGCCCUUGACUUUGGUAUAACUUCAGGAAACUGGGGCUAAUACCGGAUAGGAGCUCCUGCUGCAUGGUGGGGGUUGGAUAGUUUCGCCGGUUGGGGCUGGAUUAGCGGCUUAUCAGCUUGUUGGUGGGGUAGUGGCUUCCCAAGGCUUAGACGGGUAGCCGGCAUGGGAGGGUGAACGGGCACAUGGGGACUAAGGUAGGCCCCAGACUGCAAUGGGAGGCAGUGGUGGGGAAUAUUGCACAAUGGGAGGAAGCCGGAGGAAGCAACGCCCCGUGUGGGAAGACGGCCUUCGGGUUGUAAACCGCUGUCGCCUAUGACCAAGCAGGAGUGACGGUAAUGAGUGAAGAAGCACCGGCUAACUACGUG